This 253-nucleotide ribosomal RNA is filed under the name uncultured bacterium. Its description in RNAcentral is "partial 16S ribosomal RNA". It matches the Rfam family "Bacterial small subunit ribosomal RNA", at positions 524 to 776 of the family's 1533-position model. The record is from RNAcentral.
UACGAAGGGGGCUAGCGUUGCUCGGAAUUACUGGGCGUAAAGGGCGCGUAGGCGGAUGGCUUUGUCGGGCGUGAAAUUCCAGGGCUUAACCUUGGGGCUGCGUUCGAGACGGGUUGUCUUGAGUGGGGAAGAGGGUCGUGGAAUUCCCAGUGUAGAGGUGAAAUUCGUAGAUAUUGGGAAGAACACCGGUGGCGAAGGCGGCGACCUGGUCCUUUACUGACGCUGAGGCGCGAAAGCGUGGGGAGCAAACAGG